This 751-nucleotide ribosomal RNA is filed under the name Salmonella enterica subsp. enterica serovar Infantis. Its description in RNAcentral is "partial 23S ribosomal RNA". It matches the Rfam family "Bacterial large subunit ribosomal RNA", at positions 2052 to 2802 of the family's 2925-position model. The record is from RNAcentral. Lineage: Bacteria; Pseudomonadati; Pseudomonadota; Gammaproteobacteria; Enterobacterales; Enterobacteriaceae.
UGUGAAGAUGCAGUGUACCCGCGGCAAGACGGAAAGACCCCGUGAACCUUUACUAUAGCUUGACACUGAACAUUGAGCCUUGAUGUGUAGGAUAGGUGGGAGGCUUUGAAGCGUGGACGCCAGUCUGCGUGGAGCCGACCUUGAAAUACCACCCUUUAAUGUUUGAUGUUCUAACGUGGAUCCGUAAUCCGGGUUGCGGACAGUGUCUGGUGGGUAGUUUGACUGGGGCGGUCUCCUCCUAAAGAGUAACGGAGGAGCACGAAGGUUGGCUAAUCCUGGUCGGACAUCAGGAGGUUAGUGCAAUGGCAUAAGCCAGCUUGACUGCGAGCGUGACGGCGCGAGCAGGUGCGAAAGCAGGUCAUAGUGAUCCGGUGGUUCUGAAUGGAAGGGCCAUCGCUCAACGGAUAAAAGGUACUCCGGGGAUAACAGGCUGAUACCGCCCAAGAGUUCAUAUCGACGGCGGUGUUUGGCACCUCGAUGUCGGCUCAUCACAUCCUGGGGCUGAAGUAGGUCCCAAGGGUAUGGCUGUUCGCCAUUUAAAGUGGUACGCGAGCUGGGUUUAGAACGUCGUGAGACAGUUCGGUCCCUAUCUGCCGUGGGCGCUGGAGAACUGAGGGGGGCUGCUCCUAGUACGAGAGGACCGGAGUGGACGCAUCACUGGUGUUCGGGUUGUCAUGCCAAUGGCACUGCCCGGUAGCUAAAUGCGGAAGAGAUAAGUGCUGAAAGCAUCUAAGCACGAAACUUGCCCCGA